GAUGAACGCUAGCUACAGGCUUAACACAUGCAAGUCGAGGGGUAACAAGAGAAAAGCUUGCUUUUCUUGUUGACGACCGGCGCACGGGUGAGUAACGCGUAUCCAACCUGCCUAUAACUAGGGAAUAACCUUGCGAAAGUAAGACUAAUGCCCUAUGACUUCCUUUGGCGGCAUCAAAAAAGGAAUAAAGAUUUAUCGGUUAUAGAUGGGGAUGCGUCUGAUUAGCUUGUUGGCGGGGUAACGGCCCACCAAGGCAACGAUCAGUAGGGGUUCUGAGAGGAAGGUCCCCCACAUUGGAACUGAGACACGGUCCAAACUCCUACGGGAGGCAGCAGUGAGGAAUAUUGGUCAAUGGGCGGAAGCCUGAACCAGCCAAGUAGCGUGCAGGAUGACGGCCCUAUGGGUUGUAAACUGCUUUUAUACAGGGAUAAAGUUAGCCACGUGUGGUUAUUUGCAGGUACUGUAUGAAUAAGGACCGGCUAAUUCCGUGCCAGCAGCCGCCGUAA
RNAcentral lists this ribosomal RNA (506 nucleotides) under uncultured bacterium. Its description in RNAcentral is "partial 16S ribosomal RNA". It matches the Rfam family "Bacterial small subunit ribosomal RNA", at positions 28 to 523 of the family's 1533-position model. The record is from RNAcentral.